Molecule: ribosomal RNA, 1185 nt
Filed under: Salmonella sp. HMSC13B08
Lineage: Bacteria; Pseudomonadati; Pseudomonadota; Gammaproteobacteria; Enterobacterales; Enterobacteriaceae
Description: bacterial LSU rRNA
Rfam family: Bacterial large subunit ribosomal RNA
Source: RNAcentral
CAUGGAGCUGAAAUCAGUCGAAGAUACCAGCUGGCUGCAACUGUUUAUUAAAAACACAGCACUGUGCAAACACGAAAGUGGACGUAUACGGUGUGACGCCUGCCCGGUGCCGGAAGGUUAAUUGAUGGGGUUAUCCCUCGGGAGAAGCUCUUGAUCGAAGCCCCGGUAAACGGCGGCCGUAACUAUAACGGUCCUAAGGUAGCGAAAUUCCUUGUCGGGUAAGUUCCGACCUGCACGAAUGGCGUAAUGAUGGCCAGGCUGUCUCCACCCGAGACUCAGUGAAAUUGAACUCGCUGUGAAGAUGCAGUGUACCCGCGGCAAGACGGAAAGACCCCGUGAACCUUUACUAUAGCUUGACACUGAACACUGGUCCUUGAUGUGUAGGAUAGGUGGGAGGCUUUGAAGUGUGGACGCCAGUCUGCAUGGAGCCGCCCUUGAAAUACCACCCUUUAAUGGCUGGUGUUCUAACGUGGGCCCGUAAUCCGGGUUGCGGACAGUGUCUGGUGGGUAGUUUGACUGGGGCGGUCUCCUCCUAAAGAGUAACGGAGGAGCACGAAGGUCAGCUAAUCCUGGUCGGACAUCAGGAGGUUAGUGCAAUGGCAUAAGCUGGCUUGACUGCGAGCGUGACGGCGCGAGCAGGUGCGAAAGCAGGUCAUAGUGAUCCGGUGGUUCUGAAUGGAAGGGCCAUCGCUCAACGGAUAAAAGGUACUCCGGGGAUAACAGGCUGAUACCGCCCAAGAGUUCAUAUCGACGGCGGUGUUUGGCACCUCGAUGUCGGCUCAUCACAUCCUGGGGCUGAAGUAGGUCCCAAGGGUAUGGCUGUUCGCCAUUUAAAGUGGUACGCGAGCUGGGUUUAGAACGUCGUGAGACAGUUCGGUCCCUAUCUGCCGUGGGCGCUGGAGAACUGAGGGGGGCUGCUCCUAGUACGAGAGGACCGGAGUGGACGCAUCACUGGUGUUCGGGUUGUCAUGCCAAUGGCACUGCCCGGUAGCUAAAUGCGGAAGAGAUAAGUGCUGAAAGCAUCUAAGCACGAAACUUGCCCCGAGAUGAGUUCUCCCUGACUCCUUGAGAGUCCUGAAGGAACGUUGAAGACGACGACGUUGAUAGGCCGGGUGUGUAAGCGCAGCGAUGCGUUGAGCUAACCGGUACUAAUGAACCGUGAGGCUUAACCUUACAACGCCGAAG